Molecule: unclassified non-coding RNA, 408 nt
Filed under: Hevea brasiliensis (rubber tree)
Lineage: Eukaryota; Viridiplantae; Streptophyta; Magnoliopsida; Malpighiales; Euphorbiaceae
Source: RNAcentral
UUUCAGGUAAUCUUUCUUUAAUGCUAUUGGCUAAUGUUGAUGCAUUUCUUUACUUCUGUUGUCAUUUGCAAGGACUUGCUUAAUGAGUGCAUCAUGUAGACAUUGAGUGUAUGUAUAAUGUCACAGGCCGUAUCUCAAAGUUUUUAAUAGAAUUCGCAUAAUACUCAGCAAGUUUGAAGGCAUAUGACCAAUUUAUUGAUAUCCUCUUAAACUAGGAAAAUGGUACAAAUAUACCUGAAAUUCGGAAACAAUAUGAAUGAUCAGUUGUUUGAUUCCAGCAAGUUUGAAGGCAUAUGAUCAAUUUAUUGAUAUCCUCUUAAACUAGGAAAAUGGUACAAAUAUACCUGAAAUUCGGAAACAAUAUGAAUGAUCAGUUGUUUGAUUCCAGCAAGUUUGAAGGCAUAUGAU